GUGAACCAGCGGAGGGAUCAUU
Molecule: ribosomal RNA, 22 nt
Filed under: Fusarium oxysporum
Lineage: Eukaryota; Fungi; Ascomycota; Sordariomycetes; Hypocreales; Nectriaceae
Also listed under: 3 other names
Description: partial 18S ribosomal RNA
Source: RNAcentral